CUUAUUCAUUGAACUUUUUUACAGAUGAAACUCAGUUUGUAGGGUUUACAGUUCCCGUGCAUAAGGCGAAGCUAUUACUGGCGAAGAAGACUCGGUCCUUGUGGGCAAGUCUAGGGUCGUUUAGCUUACCACGAAUUAAGUAAAUAUACGAAUCAUUCUUCUAGGUUUACUCCGGUGAGCCAACAAACAAAGUGACCGAUGCAACCUGAAACUGCACCGGCAAACCAGCAAGCUCCUUCACUUGACAGGGGAAAACAAAAUAUUUGUUCUUCUUUGCAAAAUAAUAUGUAUAAAUGAUCAGUGAGGUAGGGCUUGCCAAUGAAAUCAAGUUCUUGCUACUGUUGUUGACAGAACCAUACUAUUUUUUCUGUUUAAUCACAGAGUCCUGCUUGAUAAAAAAAACUUACGGGUAACAACAGUUCUACACACCAUAUUCUGACAGGAAUGAAAUAUCAACAGUAAUGGAGAAGGUGAUAAAUUAAUUGGGAUCUUCCGUUCAACAUGGUGGAGCUGGUGUACAACAUCUGAUACAGCUUGAAGCCUCUCUCUCUCUCUCAUAUUGAAUAUUCGGAUGCAGCAUCAUCUAUACGUGUACAUCCAUCAGGCCCUCUUUCCCUACAAUUUUCUCUAUCGACAGCCAUGUUCUCCUCUUCUCCGACUAAAGAGAUACUUGCAGCCUAGACUCCCCUACAAAUCAGACACCGGAGGCUCUCGAAGAUGUGGUGUUCAAUCAAUCAAGUGUCAGUUUACCGAGUUGGAGGACAUUACUUGAUAGGCUCUAAAUCCAGAGCUUUUUUCAGUCAUUUAAGCAUAAGUCUUAGAAUGACUUGAGGAUGUCGAUGCAAAAUUCAAUCUACAUUUCCAUGUUCGUUGACCUAUUCAAUAUAGUUUGAUAGAAUCAUGCAUACUAAGUAUCUCAUGUAGUCAUCUAGAUGUGUCUUAGUCAAUGCAUUCAACAUAUUUUUUUCUCCAUGUAACAUGCUACCAUUUCUAAGCCAACUGUUACCUCAGAUGUUUACUUCCUUUUUUAAAGCACGUGCCCUUAUAUUGGUUUACUGAAUACUCUUUUCUUGAGGAUACAGGGCAAGUUGUCUGCUUCUAAAACGUGCAAGACAUCUGAGUUUUAGCAUAGAAAGUUGUCUUGUUUUGUUACUUAUCAAAGGAUGUAUUAUUGA
Lolium rigidum is the source of this 1175-nucleotide long non-coding RNA. RefSeq lists it as uncharacterized. The transcript has 4 exons. Lineage: Eukaryota; Viridiplantae; Streptophyta; Magnoliopsida; Poales; Poaceae. The record is from RefSeq and is a predicted model, not a curated record.